ACAGUGUCACGGUAGUAAUUCAACCUAGUACGAGAGGAAUCGUUGAUUCACACAAUUUGUCAUCGCGCUUGGUUGAAAAUCCAGUGGUGCGAAGCUACCGCGUGCCGGAUUAUGACUGAAUGCCUCUAAGUCAGAAUCCAAGCUAGCAUGCGACGCUUGCGCUCACUGCUAGCCCCGACCCACAUUAGGGGCGCUUGUGCUCCCAAGGGCCUGUGCCAUUGGCUAAGCCGGUUCGGCCGACGUGUCGUGACCGGCCGCCUCGAAGCUCCAUUCCCAACGGGCGGCGGGCUGUAUCCUUUGCAGACGACUUAAAUAAGCGACGUGCAUUGUAAGUGACAGUGUGGCCUUGCUACCACGAUCCACUGGGAUCCAGCCCCAUGUCACAUAGAUUC
RNAcentral lists this ribosomal RNA (392 nucleotides) under Hordeum vulgare subsp. vulgare (domesticated barley). RNAcentral's name for it is "Eukaryotic large subunit ribosomal RNA". It matches the Rfam family "Eukaryotic large subunit ribosomal RNA", at positions 3005 to 3399 of the family's 3401-position model. The record is from Rfam by way of RNAcentral. Lineage: Eukaryota; Viridiplantae; Streptophyta; Magnoliopsida; Poales; Poaceae.